AAUCUUCCGCAAUGGACGAAAGUCUGACGGAGCAACGCCGCGUGAGUGAUGAAGGUCUUCGGAUCGUAAAUCUCUGUUGUUAGGGAAGAACAAGUAUCGUACGAAUAGGGCGGUACUUUGACGGUACAUAAGCAGAAAGCCACGGCUACCUACGUGGCACCAGCCGCGGUAAGACGUAGGUGGCAACCGUGAUCCUGAAUUAUUGGGCGCAAAGCGCGCGCAGGCGGUUUCAUAAGUCUGAUGUGAAAGCCCACGGCUCAACCGUGGAGGGUCAUUGGAAACCGGGAAGCUUGAGUGCAGAAGAGGAGAGUGGAAUUCCAUGUGUAGCGGUGAAAUGCGUAGAGAUAUGGAGGAACACCAGUGGCGAAGGCGACUCUCUGGUCUGCAACUGACGCUGAGGCGCGAAAGCGUGGGGAGCGAACA
This 423-nucleotide ribosomal RNA is filed under the name uncultured bacterium. RNAcentral describes it as "partial 16S ribosomal RNA". It matches the Rfam family "Bacterial small subunit ribosomal RNA", at positions 360 to 774 of the family's 1533-position model. The record is from RNAcentral.